UAACAGAGAGAACAAAUGUGCUGAUCUUGUGUUGUCAGAGGUCUUUCUGCUGUUACAAUGGGGAUCGCAAUAGUGGCAUAUCUUUGUGCUUUGCUUUGUACUAAAAUUAAGGCUGAAAUGGACAUUUAGACCAGAUUGAAGACACUAGAAUCGGCGAUGCUGAAAGAUAACAUGCGUACCAUUAGACUUGAGGAAAUGAUGUUUCAUCAACAGGAAAUGUUAAAAGACCAAACUUUAACUAUUGAGACCCAGCAAAAUCAACUUGAUAUUUUGAAUGACAGAUUCAACGAACAAGCGAAUAUUAUAAGGCACUAAAACGAAAUAUUGAGCGCACAGUGGGCCACAAUACAAUUCUUAAAGAACGAUAUCAUAACAUCCAUGCCAUGUAAAGCUACUGAUCAAAGUAAGCCUACACGCGAAAACCUUUUCAAACGGUAUCUCAACCAGGCAACGGUUGUGGUUCUGCAAACAAAGACCAGAAGGACAACCAAGACCAAAAUCCAAAUGUAUCGACAGGUAACAACGCUUUUCGUGCGCGGAUUGUCCGUGCUGCGGUGACAAUGGUAGCAUUUACAGCCAUAAAGGAGACCACCCAAAACAACAUUGGCGUCAAUCAAAACAUCAUCUUCGAACACGUUAUCCUUAAUGAAGGUGGGGCCUACCAUGCACAGCACGGGAUAUUCGUAGCACCUGUAAGUGGCUACUACCUGUUCGCAACGUCCUUGCUGCACCCCCAGAUAAACCAACCAUUACGUGGUGGCCUGAUGCACAAUGGCAAUUUGGUUGCAAUCGCGUACGCUACUGAAAACAUUUGGGCACAGGGAAGUCAAACAGUCGUCCUGAAAAUAACAACCGGAGAUGAGGUUUGGAUAAAAAACCUGGAUUUCGAGCACGAAGUUGUAAAUGGCGAUGCAUAUUCAUCGUUUUCCGGUGUAAUUUUGUUAAAACUUUAAUAUUAUACAAGUCGAACUGUGGCGACGAUUGAAUAAAUACAUAUGGUAAACACUGCAAUAAUGUUUUAUCGAACGCAAAGCCGUUAAGCUAUAAUGAAGGAUGUUCUAAACCAUGACGUGUACUUGAUGAGAAAAAAAACCCUUCUCAAACCCAUUAAACUAAUAAAUCAAAAUAUUAUAUAUUGCAAAAUUUCAAAGCCGCAUGGUUUAAAGCCGAAGUAUAUUUGUAUUUAAUAAAUAAAGUGGUAAUUAACUACUAAAACGUCUUUGUUUUAUAUGAGUUGUUUUUUUCCAGAUUGUUGUCGGAAAUGAUUUUGAAAUUUUAUUAUAUAAAUGGUCUCCUCAGUUAGGCAAGCCUAGUCUUAAUUUAACAUAGAUUUGUCUUCUUUUGAAAAUUUGAAUUAAAAUGGUAUUUCGUGUUAAUUAAAAAAAGUAUCAUUUGCCAAAUUAAAGACCACCACAGAAACACAGAAACUACUGUUGAAAGGAUAAACAAUGAGUUGGUGGAAUAUAAGAUUAACUCAACUUAACUCAACUCAAACAACUUAAUUUAGGUAAAUACAGGUCACUGGCCAACAAAUACAAACUAUAAACAAGCUUAGACAUUCACAUAGUUGCUUUGUAUAUUAAGAAGAAUAUUUAGACUUACUUCGCAGACGUCUGCGCUUAUUUUUCGUAAGAUUACGAGUGUCUGCACACCCGCUGAGGAUCCGAACUGGCAGAUACGCUCAGAAUAACACACCACGAAAUGAACGUUAUUGUUUAUGUUGUAAUGAAUUUGAUAUAGAAGAUAAAUACCAUUUCAUAUGUAUAGGCCACUGUUUCAUCGAUUUAAGACAAAGAUAUAUUAGCCGUAUAUUUUAUAUCAACCCAUCUGUGUAUAAUUUCCACAAUUUGUUAGUUUCAUGUAACAAAACAGUAAUUUCCAAUUUAUGUAAAUAUAUCAAAGAAGCUUUUGUUAUAAGAAAUACGAUUCUUAAUAAUACUGUUUAAUAAAUUGCAUGACCACUUUGUCAGAACCUAUGUGUCCCUGCAAUUGAUUGUGUUAAUUUGUAUUUGUUGUAUACCUAUUCACGUUACAGAUUUAAAUGUGUAUAAGUAAUUAUGAAGACGAUGUACUUUGUGUAAGUCUGAAUAAAUUGUCUGUCUGUC
Long non-coding RNA from Dreissena polymorpha, 2105 nucleotides. RefSeq lists it as uncharacterized. The record is from RefSeq and is a predicted model, not a curated record. The transcript is spliced from 3 exons. Lineage: Eukaryota; Metazoa; Mollusca; Bivalvia; Myida; Dreissenidae.